ACGCUCGACACCUACGAGAGGCAGCAGUGGGGAAUAUUGCACAAUGGGGGAAACCCUGAUGCAGCGACGCCGCGUGGAGGAAGAAGGUCUUCGGAUUGUAAACUCCUGUUGUUGGGGAAAAAGAGGAUGGUACCCAACAAGGAAGUGACGGCUAACUACGUGCCAGCAGCCGCGGUAAUCCUGAGCGGGCUGGCAAGGC
This 199-nucleotide ribosomal RNA is filed under the name uncultured bacterium. RNAcentral's name for it is "partial 16S ribosomal RNA". It matches the Rfam family "Bacterial small subunit ribosomal RNA", at positions 328 to 539 of the family's 1533-position model. The record is from RNAcentral.